Molecule: unclassified non-coding RNA, 368 nt
Filed under: Hevea brasiliensis (rubber tree)
Lineage: Eukaryota; Viridiplantae; Streptophyta; Magnoliopsida; Malpighiales; Euphorbiaceae
Source: RNAcentral
AAUAUUAUAUCCAAAUAAGAGGACAUGAUAGAGAGAGUCAAGAAAGACAAGGUUUGCAAUGGUUUUCUCAUUUUCCUCUAAACAGGACUUAAUUAACCAGCAUCAUGAAAAUGUGUCCAUCCUGUUAAUGCAAUGAAUGGAACUUGUUUUACUCAGUCAUAGUUAGACUAACACAUAAGAGCUUGUAAAAUAAUUAAACUGCAAUUUGCCAAAUAAACCAUAUCAUUUAGUAUAUAAUAACUUUAAAAUAUUCCUCCAGUGAACACAGGAACAAAGAUAAACAACCAUUUCUAAGUUGCGACUGCUUGUGCCACCUGAUUAGCCAUACAGCAACUGACAACUCUUUACUGAGUUUUACCAUGAUUUUG